AAGUCGUAACAAGGUUUCAGUAGGUGAACCUGCGGAAGGAUCAUUAACGAAGACUUGGGCGCCCGCGCCCUUCUCGUCGUCCACCCUGUGCACCGAGACAUUUUUUGCGCUACAUAUGUUGAGGAUGAUAACGAAAUUAAAAUGGCACAAAAUGAAGCAACGGAUCUCUUGGCUCUC
This 177-nucleotide unclassified non-coding RNA is filed under the name fungal sp. RNAcentral describes it as "partial internal transcribed spacer region". The stretch from base 1 to 46 matches the Rfam family "Eukaryotic small subunit ribosomal RNA", at positions 1786 to 1831 of the family's 1831-position model. Lineage: Eukaryota; Fungi. The record is from RNAcentral.